UACGUAGGUCCCGAGCGUUGUCCGGAUUUAUUGGGCGUAAAGCGAGCGCAGGUGGUUUAUUAAGUCUGGUGUAAAAGGCAAUGGCUCAACCAUUGUAUGCAUUGGAAACUGGUAGACUUGAGUGCAGGAGAGGAGAGUGGAACUCCAUGUGUAGCGGUGAAAUGCGUAGAUAUAUGGAGGAACACCGGUGGCGAAAGCGGCUCUCUGGCCUGUAACUGACACUGAGGCUCGAAAGCGUGGGGAGCAAACAGG
RNAcentral lists this ribosomal RNA (252 nucleotides) under uncultured bacterium. RNAcentral's name for it is "partial 16S ribosomal RNA". It matches the Rfam family "Bacterial small subunit ribosomal RNA", at positions 524 to 776 of the family's 1533-position model. The record is from RNAcentral.